AUUGAACGCUGGCGGCAGGCCUAACACAUGCAAGUCGAGCGGAUGAAGGGAGCUUGCUCCUGGAUUCAGCGGCGGACGGGUGAGUAAUGCCUAGGAAUCUGCCUGGUAGUGGGGGAUAACGUCCGGAAACGGGCGCUAAUACCGCAUACGUCCUGAGGGAGAAAGUGGGGGAUCUUCGGACCUCACGCUAUCAGAUGAGCCUAGGUCGGAUUAGCUAGUUGGUGGGGUAAAGGCCUACCAAGGCGACGAUCCGUAACUGGUCUGAGAGGAUGAUCAGUCACACUGGAACUGAGACACGGUCCAGACUCCUACGGGAGGCAGCAGUGGGGAAUAUUGGACAAUGGGCGAAAGCCUGAUCCAGCCAUGCCGCGUGUGUGAAGAAGGUCUUCGGAUUGUAAAGCACUUUAAGUUGGGAGGAAGGGCAGUAAGUUAAUAC
This 436-nucleotide ribosomal RNA is filed under the name Pseudomonas aeruginosa. RNAcentral describes it as "bacterial SSU rRNA". It matches the Rfam family "Bacterial small subunit ribosomal RNA", at positions 30 to 465 of the family's 1533-position model. The record is from RNAcentral. Lineage: Bacteria; Pseudomonadati; Pseudomonadota; Gammaproteobacteria; Pseudomonadales; Pseudomonadaceae.